RNAcentral lists this ribosomal RNA (492 nucleotides) under uncultured bacterium. RNAcentral describes it as "partial 16S ribosomal RNA". It matches the Rfam family "Bacterial small subunit ribosomal RNA", at positions 29 to 507 of the family's 1533-position model. The record is from RNAcentral.
AGUGAGCGCUGGCGGUAGGCCUAACACAUGCAAGUCGAACGGCAGCACAGUAAGAGCUUGCUCUUACGGGUGGCGAGUGGCGGACGGGUGAGGAAUACAUCGGAAUCUACUUUUUCGUGGGGGAUAACGUAGGGAAACUUACGCUAAUACCGCAUACGACCUACGGGUGAAAGCAGGGGAUCUUCGGACCUUGCGCGAUUGAAUGAGCCGAUGUCGGAUUAGCUAGUUGGCGGGGUAAAGGCCCACCAAGGCGACGAUCCGUAGCUGGUCUGAGAGGAUGAUCAGCCACACUGGAACUGAGACACGGUCCAGACUCCUACGGGAGGCAGCAGUGGGGAAUAUUGGACAAUGGACGCAAGCCUGAUCCAGCCAUACCGCGUGGGUGAAGAAGGCCUUCGGGUUGUAAAGCCCUUUUGUUGGGAAAGAAAAGCAGCAGGUUAAUACCCCGCUGUUCUGACGGUACCCAAAGAAUAAGCACCGGCUAACUUCGUG